Molecule: long non-coding RNA, 438 nt
Organism: Alnus glutinosa
Lineage: Eukaryota; Viridiplantae; Streptophyta; Magnoliopsida; Fagales; Betulaceae
Exons: 3
Source: RefSeq, a predicted model, not a curated record
UCCUCUUCUCUUGCCGAAACACGGAGAGAGACCCGGUGGGUCAGCGCCGGAGGAGUAGGAGGCGACGUUCGGUUCUGGGACGUCGACCAGUGGUUGGGGGCCGCGAUUCCCGGCGUUUGGAGGCCAUUUUUCUGUGGGUCUCCGGUAAGAGAGGAUCCGGCGAGGUAGGGAGCGAUUUCCGACGAUUUUUGGGUGAUUUUUUUCGAUGGAUUUCUGUGGAAAUCCUUGUGGUAAAAGGUCGACCCGACGCUAAUUGCAAAUCCAGAUGACACAGUAAGACGGAGUCAUUUCUUUGUAAUGGCGUAGACCUCGCUAAGAGCAAUAGAUCGUUUGUGGACCGACCCAACUUUUAUAUUGUAUAGUAUGUCUCUUUUUGAAAGUUAUGGCAUUGUAAAAUAUUAUUAAUAGACAGGAAUAAUAAAUUAGGAAGUUACAAUU